RNAcentral lists this ribosomal RNA (557 nucleotides) under uncultured bacterium. Its description in RNAcentral is "bacterial SSU rRNA". It matches the Rfam family "Bacterial small subunit ribosomal RNA", at positions 102 to 694 of the family's 1533-position model. The record is from RNAcentral.
ACGGGUGCGUAACGCGUGGGAAUCUACCCUUGGGUUCGGAAUAACAUCGGGAAACUGAUGCUAAUACCGGAUAAUGACGUAAGUCCAAAGAUUUAUCGCCCAGGGAUGAGCCCGCGUAGGAUUAGCUUGUUGGUGAGGUAAAGGCUCACCAAGGCGACGAUCCUUAGCUGGUCUGAGAGGAUGAUCAGCCACACUGGGACUGAGACACGGCCCAGACUCCUACGGGAGGCAGCAGUAGGGAAUAUUGGACAAUGGGGGCAACCCUGAUCCAGCAAUGCCGCGUGAGUGAUGAAGGCCUUAGGGUUGUAAAGCUCUUUUACCCGGGAUGAUAAUGACAGUACCGGGAGAAUAAGCCCCGGCUAACUCCGUGCCAGCAGCCGCGGUAAUACGGAGGGGGCUAGCGUUGUUCGGAAUUACUGGGCGUAAAGCGCACGUAGGCGGCGAUUUAAGUCAGAGGUGAAAGCCCGGGGCUCAACCCCGGAACUGCCUUUGAGACUGGAUUGCUUGAAUCACGGAGAGGUGGGUGGAAUUCCGAGUGUAGAGGUGAAAUUCGUAGA